RNAcentral lists this long non-coding RNA (561 nucleotides) under Nicotiana tabacum (common tobacco). Its description in RNAcentral is "long non-coding RNA (NTAB_LNC001186)". The record is from RNAcentral. Lineage: Eukaryota; Viridiplantae; Streptophyta; Magnoliopsida; Solanales; Solanaceae.
AAGCCAAGCCAGGAUCUUGGAGUUGUCCCCUAUAAAAUCCCAAGGUAAAUGUUAGUUAAAGAGUAGGACCAACUCAUUUAAAAGUUUAUGUUUUAAGAAAGAAUUUAUUUUUAGUUAUUUAAUUAUAUCUUGUUUAUUUCUACAUAUGCCAAAAGAAGUCAGGAAUGAUUUAAUCCGAGGUCGCAGUAACAGGGUGACUUGGAGCAAUACCAAUCCUUCACCAUAUCCAAAUAUGAGAAGUCAUUAGUAUGAUUCUAAGAGACCCUUAAUUUACUGAUUUCAUUCAUUUUUCUUUCUUUCUUCUUCAUCUACUACUUCUUCUUUUAUUUUAUUCCUGAAAAAUUGCUAAACUGUAAACUCCCUCAUGUGUGCGCAGACGAUGUGGUGACAAUUGCUUUUAGGGCUGCUGAGGAUGGGCAUGGGAAAUACUUCCGGAAAUUUGGGAUGAGAUGGAACAAAAUGGCAUCUACAGGCUGUUUGAGUUUUGAAAUGUUACGUUUACUAUAAAUCGGAAAAGGAUAAUAUUUAAUUACCCCUCUGUUACAAUGUUUAAAUAUAACC